Molecule: non-coding RNA, 72 nt
Organism: Myotis davidii
Lineage: Eukaryota; Metazoa; Chordata; Mammalia; Chiroptera; Vespertilionidae
Source: Rfam
GUUGGUGUGGCUCAGUGGUUGAGCAUUGACCCAUGAACCAAGCGGUCCCAGGUUCGAUUCCUGGCCACAGCA